Long non-coding RNA from Chelonia mydas (Green sea turtle), 5790 nucleotides. RefSeq lists it as uncharacterized. Lineage: Eukaryota; Metazoa; Chordata; Testudines; Cheloniidae. The transcript has 3 exons. The record is from RefSeq and is a predicted model, not a curated record.
ACCUCAUCCUUAUGUGUCCACACAAGAGAUCCGCUUCUUGGAUAUUACAGUGGAAAUAAGUGAUGGUCACAUAAACACUAUCCUACACUGGAAACCUACUGACCCGCUAUCCUUACCUACAUACCUCUAACUUCCAUCCAGGACACACCACACGAUCCAUUGUCUACAGCCAAGCCCUAAGAUACAACCAUAUUUGCUUCAAUCCCUCAGACAGAGACAAACACCUAUAAGAUCUUUUUAUCAAGCAUUCUUAAAACUACAAUAUACACCUAGGUAGAUGUCCGGGCUCAGGCUCUGGGACCCUGUUAGGGGGUGAGGAUCUUAAUGCCUGGGCUUCAGCCUGAGCCUGGAUGUCUAUCCUGAAAUUUUAUGACCUUGCAAGACCAAGUCUGCAGGUAUAGGCCAACCGUGGAUGUUUUAUUGAAGUGUAGACAUUCCUGGAGAGAGAAGGUGUUGCAGGUGGGAUGGCAGAUGCACUCAGACAUUGAAGGGAGUAAGAAGGCUCCUCCAGGGCCCUGAGUCAGAGGGGUAAAGACACCAGCAGGAAGGAGAUCUGUGGAGAAUGCAGAGAAUGUCAAACUCCAGGCAAGAAACACUGGGAGAGCAGGAAGACAGGGCCCAGUUUGAAAUUGUGGGAAGACUGGAGCUUUUGAAAGACUUUGUGCAGGAUUUAAUAAAUUGAUCCCCAGAAAUGGGGUUUGUUUUGAAUAUCUGGAUGGUGUGGGCUUUUUAAUGGACUCUAAGCAGAAGGGGAAGCUAAGGCAGGACACUGCAGAGCUACCUGUAGCCAGCAGGGGGCACUCCGGAGUGGCACACUCUUACGCAUGCUGAAUUGUGUUAAGGAGACUUGUAGGUUUGCCCUGCGUUCAUGCUAGCACUGUUCCACAAGUAACACUGGUGGCAUUGUGGGAGAUUUUGAAAGGCCACGGAUGUGGAACAGCAGUAGGAGGACUAGAUGAACUGUUCAGCCAGUGUGCCUGCACGCUAGCACUGAAAUACUUCAGGAUGAAAUGGUAUUUAGUUCUGCUGAAGUUUAGUCUACCCCAAAUGGCAUCUAACACAUUUUUAAACUAUCUGAAUUGCUUUUGUGUGUGGAUGUGUUUUAGCUGGAACAAAUGGUAUUUGACACAAUACACUUCUGUAGAUGAGGCCUUAGAAUGCCUUCUGUUCUUCUUUCUGUACUCUUUUUUUUUUUUUUUUUUUUUUUUAAUAUGUGUCUGACCCUGUCUUGUGUGUUUUGCCAGGCUCCCUGAUGUAAAGUAUUUUUUCGGAAAGGCCAAUGUACUGAAAGUCUCUUCUAAUUUAGACCAUAAUUAAAGGAGAAAGGGGCACUUAAAGGUAGCUUAUUGCCAAAAUCAAAGGCCUUUGGCAAACUUCAGCGCAUGAUUUGCUCUUCCCAAGAAUAUCAGAUAAAUCUAGGAUUAAAAGAUAUUCUAACAUUGCAUAAUAUGCAGUGAAAGAAACGAGAAUCACAUGUGUUUGUGAUAAGUAAGAGGUGUUUAAACUCUGUAUCCAGGUCUUUGCAUUUUAUUUAGGUGAUUUUAAAACUUUGGCAGAGAUCCUCUACUCUUACUGCUGAACUAUAAAAUAGAAUUGUUCUGCAGUAACAAAAGCAUUCUCUGUGGAACUUGAAUCUGUAGACUCUAUAUAUAAACAAGUGUGUGGUAAUGGAAAAAAUGGACUAUAAUCAUGAUGGACUUUCUCUUUGGUAUUAGUCGCAUAAAACAGAAGCAUGUGUCUGUGCCAGAAAUGAAACCUUAUUUUCUGCCAAGCUCUCUGAUUCUUAACUUAAACUAUAGGAUGUUAGACUCCAGUGUGAAUCCUUUCUAUUAAUUAGAAGGGAGGAAAACACACCAGUUUAACUAACUAUAUUUUUUAAAAUGUAUCUGAUUUAAACUAAUGGAAUCCCUUAAUUUAAAGAGACCAAUUUUAAGACUUACCAAUUUAAACUAGUUGCUUAAUCAAUUUAUUUUAAAUGUGUAUACGUCUAGGUGUUUACACCAGUUUAACUAGAUUUUAAAAUAGAUUAACUAAAUCUAGUUAAACUGGUGCAUUUUUUUUUAGUAUGGUCCUGGACAAGGAAAAGGAGGGGAUGAAGAUCUAAGGACAAGAGACUUCAUAAAUUAGCUUCCCUCUUGUACUUAUCUCAGAGAAAACUUAUGUAGGUUUCACCAAACACCAAAGCUUUGUCAAUGAAGAUGUGAGAUCAGCACAUUGUGGUGUGGUGUUUGGGGCAGAACAAAUAACUUCCCUUAGCAUUCAUAUUGGGUGCUGGAACCCACUGAUAUGUAUGUAAGAAUAUGGAUCUGAUCACAUUUGAUGAAUCUGCACACCUCUUAAGUGUCUACUUUUUUAUAGUAUUUUAAAGACCGACUACAGGAAUCUCAUGGCAAUCCCAAUCGAGGACACAGCGAAGAUUGGGAAUAGUUGCAAUUUCAUCUCCUGAUGAUGUGUUUCUAGAUGUAGAUAAAUGUAAAAAUAAAAUGGUAACAAUGCUUUUAAUCUAAAUCUAAAUUUUAAUAGCUUACCACAGAAGCAACACCCAUGCUAAGGCCCUUUUUCAGUCUGUGGGAAUUGUACAACUAUACCUGGAAAAUGUAUAGUUGGCUCUGUCCCAUCAUUUAAAAAAAAAAAAAUUGAGUCCUAGUGUAAACAUUUGUAACCAUUUCAGAGGGAACAUCAUUAUCCAGAUGGACAAUUUACAUCCCAACUUCCUGCCCUGUAUCUCCAUUGUCUAGGCAAAACUUCACAAGUCCUUAGUGUAUUUGCCAGUAAUUUUCCCUUCGAGAUUAAAAUGUCUGUUGGUCAGAACUUGGAUAAAAUCCGAGCCAGUACCCUCGGUUUUAUCCAAGUCCUGCAGGAAAAAUUAUUUAAUCAGAAUAAUUACAAAUGUAAGAGUUCUACUAACGGAACAGUCUGUUUGAUAUGACUUAAAAGUAUUUGGCCUCAAUUCAGCAAAGUACUUAAAUCUUAUGACCCAUUGUACUCGAUCAACUUUUGCUUAAGCAUGUUACUGAAUCUGGGGGUCCUUGUGAGGAUUUUAUAGAUUGCUGUAGCUGUUUUGCGGUAAGCAGUAUCAGUAAACAUGCAAAGAAAGGGAGGUUGUUUUUGAUGGAAGAAAGAAACUGCUAAGUAGAUUUGGGAUAAUUAAGAACAGCUAGUUCUCAGGAAGAAAAACUUGGCUUUGUUAUGGUAAUUGUUAAACUGCAGACAACACUUGGCUCCUGCCAUGAAGAGCAACUGAACUAGGUUCCUGAUUAGAGCUAGGUGAAAUUUUUUUUGGACAAAACUCUUUUUGAGGAAGAAAAUGGAGGUUCAGCAACACUGAAAUGUGUUGCAAAUUCAUGUCUGCUUUGCCUAAUUGUUCAUGCUGGGAGCGGUGGAAGAAAGCAAAAUUCUAAAAAGUCAAAAUGCUUUCUUUCAACUUUUUUGAAAUGAAAUAUUUCAAUUUACUGUUCCAAAUGACUUUUCAUUUAGAAAUUUCCUUCAGUUUUAUUUUUAAAAUGUUCAAAAAUGUUAAGCUUGAAAUUGAAACAAAUUGUUUUGUUCAACUCAAAAUUGAUGUAUUGGUUAUUUUUAUUUUUUUUUUAAUUGUCAGUGAACGAUAAUAUGUGUUCCUGAUGUCAGGCACAGGGACAACUCUUCAUGCAAAAAAACUGCAGACAGACUGGAUUUAAUAUCUGCGUUGUGCAUUCCCUUUGAAUAUUUGGUAUAGAUUAUUCUUAAAUCUGUGCCCGUGCACAUACAUCGUACAUUGAUGUAUACAUGUUUGGUACUGAUUAGACUCUAGUUUUAGGUAACUUUUUUCUUUCAACUCGAAUGUACAGCAUACAUUUAUUUUAUGAAUCCGCUAAUAAGAAACUCUGUUAUCUGUACUAAACAGUGCAAUUAGACUGGCUCUAAUUGAGCAAUGUAAUUCUUUGUUCAGGUAAUACAAUAUACAUUGAAUCAGCCAUUCUAGAAAAAUCUUUCCUAAAAUAAGAAACCAGUGAGCUUAAUCCUCCUCCUUUUUAACUAAAUUUUAAAAUAUCACUAGUGGCCUGUUCCAGUCUGUGAAAUCUAUUUCACAGAAGAAGUGACUCCCAUAUGACCAAAACAAAAUAGUAUUUGUCCUCUUAAUGUAAAAAUCAAAUGUGACAAAUGAUUUUUAGCUUUAUCUGUAGAUUCACAGAUUUUUAAGACUAGAACGGAGUAUUGUGAUCGUCUAGUUUGGCUUUCUACCAUAGAACUUCCCUGAAUUAAUUCCUGUUUGAACUAGAGCAUAUUUUUAGAAAAACAUCUAAUCAAUAAAAAUAAAUCCAAUCAAAAUCCAGUACACUUCUGUUGGGUUAAAUUCUGCUUAUCCACCUGCAAGCCCACUGAUUUCUGAGAGAUUGCACAGAUGUUGCUGGGUAGAAACUUGCCUUUUUGUUAUGUAUUGUGCUGUCACCAAAGACGACAAUAGUUGAGGCUUCUUGGGCUAUCCUAAAAUUGAGCGUCGCAACAUUGUGCAUUGUUCUUAACACCCUAUGAAGUGCAACGGUAUUAGUGCUGAAUGAAUAAUUCGCAGUGAACAUGUUUUACUAAUUAAUUUAGUCUUUCUAUUUGUGGAAUCUGUAUAAGCAAGUCGCAAUGUCUUUUACUCUUUUAUUUUCCAAAUUUUUCAUUUCAGUUUUCACUGAUUCUGAAUAUUCUAUUUUAGCUGUUUCUUAGCUGCAGUUUCACAGUUUUGCAGUUUCUGUGUUGGGUGAGCAUGCAAGCAAAUACUAAAAUUAGCAUCGAAAUCUACUUUCACAGGUAACUCUGCUGGUUGGCAGGAUCACUGAAAUGUUCAUGGAAUUAAUGCAAAAAAGUGUGCACAUUUUUAAUAAAUAUUUCAAAGUAUCCCCCUCUCAACCUAAUGACUACCUUAGGCUGCAAGCAAGAACCACGUCAUCUUAUGUUUGUAGAGCUCCUAGCACAAUGAGGCCUCAGUCUUGAUUGGAGCAUCUAGGCACUAUUGUCUCAUAAAUAUUUUUGAUGAUAAAGUGGGUAUGAUCAUGGGUGAAAUGAAUUAAUUUUAGAAGUCAACCAGUAUUUGUGUAAAAUAUAUUAUUUACCCAACUAUAAUUCAUUGAUAAACUGUCAUAUGAGUAGAUUAAGCCUACACAGGAUUUUUGUUUGCUGUAUAAUAUUGAUGGAUUUAAAUCACAAAUACAGUUUUUGGUAACCCUCAAUUUAUUUAGGCCAUGUCUACACUAGAGACCUUACAGCAGCACAGUUGUACUGCUGCAACUGCUCCGCUGUAAGGUCUCCAGUAUCUCCAGAGCUCUCCCCUUGGCGUAAUUAAACUACCCCCAACGAGUGGCAGUAGCUAUGUUGGUGGGAGAGCAUCUCCCGCUGACACAGCACUGUCCACACCAGCGUGUCUCUCGGUGUAACUUAUGUCUGUCAGGGUGCGUGAGCGACAUAUGUUUUACUGACAAAAGUGCUAGUGUAGACAUAGCCUUAGAAACUCCAGAUUCCCAUGAUCAUAGGCUCAGUAAUCAGGAAAUCUUCUGCUCCUGGGACGUCAGUUGUACUGGAAUGCAAGCAAUGCAGCUGAUGACUAAUCUAUAAAAUACAAGAGUAGCCACAACAAAUAGCUUAUGUAAUAACAUGUAUAGUAUGUACUUAGUACUUGUAGUGUGGAGAACUGCUGCAGUGACCCCUACUGGGAGGAAGGGUCAAACUGGCCGGCCAUGAAUUCCCUUGUUCUAAAAUUAGCUAAGAAGACUGUGUGUGUGUGUGUGUGUGUGUGAGAGAGAGAGCAGCUAAACUUUUUUAUUCUUU